This 305-nucleotide ribosomal RNA is filed under the name uncultured bacterium. Its description in RNAcentral is "bacterial SSU rRNA". It matches the Rfam family "Bacterial small subunit ribosomal RNA", at positions 335 to 633 of the family's 1533-position model. The record is from RNAcentral.
AUCCUACGGGGCGCAGCAGUAGGGAAUCUUCCACAAUGGGCGAAAGCCUGAUGGAGCAACGCCGCGCGGGUGAAGAAGGUCUUCGGAUCGUAAAACCCUGUUGUUAGAGAAGAAAGUGCGUGAGAGUAACUGUUCACAUUUCGACGGUAUCUAACCAGAAAGCCACGGCUAACUACGUGCCAGCAGCCGCGGUAAUACGUAGGUGGCAAGCGUUAUCCGGAUUUAUUGGGCGUAAAGGGAACGCAGGCGGUCUUUUAAGUCUGAUGUGAAAGCUUUCGGCUUAACCGGAGGAGUGCAUUGGAAAC